CCUCCUUCCCGCUCUCCAACCUGUAGUUCUCUUCCUGCAGCUCCUCCACCUGCGCCUGCAGCAGUUGCAGCUUCUUGGAUGCAGCGCCUGCAGCGUCGGCUUCCAGCUGGGCUUUCUCCUCCCGCAGCGCUCUGUUCUCCUCAGCCAGGCUGCCCUUCUCCUCCAGCAGCACCGCCACCUGCUGCUCCAGCUCCAGGCAGCGCUGCUGCGGCCCCACAGCGUCC
This 224-nucleotide long non-coding RNA is filed under the name Gallus gallus (chicken). The record is from RNAcentral. Lineage: Eukaryota; Metazoa; Chordata; Aves; Galliformes; Phasianidae.